Molecule: long non-coding RNA, 454 nt
Filed under: Bos indicus x Bos taurus (hybrid cattle)
Lineage: Eukaryota; Metazoa; Chordata; Mammalia; Artiodactyla; Bovidae
Description: lncRNA (ENSBIXG00000014739.1)
Source: RNAcentral
CUUUUUUAGGCGGGGGCCUUCCGUUUAAUAAUUCAGUAAUUAGAUGCACUGCUGUCAGCUGUGAAAUCCCUAACAGCUUUGCAAUGACAACAUAUUGAAGGCUUUGUGGUCCUCCAAGGUCUCUCUCGAUGUCUUUAACAGGAAGGACAGAGAUCACAUUAGCUGGGAAAACCUAGGCAUGGCCUGAGAGAGUGGAAAAGAGUAAAAGUAAAAUGCCUUAUCAUCCAUGCACUAUGUCUCUGGCUGAGACUUUCGCCAAGGGGUCAUUCAGUGAACAUCACCUUGCUGGCGAUGCACAGAGCUGUCUCAACAUGUCAUCGUGUAAAGUCUGUCUGCACAAAGAUCCCUGGCACACAACCACAAUACCUGGGACACAGUAGAUGCUUGACAAUGGGGCCAAGAGGGAAGAAGAGAAAGGAAGGCUGGACCAAAUGAAAAGGAAAGCUAGAUUGGU